AGGACGAACGCUGGCGGCGUGCUUAACACAUGCAAGUCGAACGGUGAAGCCCUUCGGGGUGGAUCAGUGGCGAACGGGUGAGUAACACGUGAGCAAUCUGCCCUUGACUCUGGGAUAACUUCGGGAAACCGGAGCUAAUACCGGAUAUGACAUACGGCCGCAUGGUCUGUGUGUGGAAAGAUUUAUCGGUCAAGGAUGAGCUCGCGGCCUAUCAGCUUGUUGGUGGGUAAUGGCCUACCAAGGCGACGACGGGUAGCCGGCCUGAGAGGGCGACCGGCCACGACUGGGACUGAGACACGGCCCAGACUCCUACGGGAGCAGCAGUGGGAAUAUUGCGCAAUGGGCGAAAGCCUGACGCAGCGACGCCGCGUGAGGGAUGGAAGGCCUUCGGGUCGUAAACCGUCUUUACGAGUCCGAGGGAAGAAGCGGAAGUGACGGUACCUGCAGAAGAAGCAACCGGCUAACGUACGUGACCAGCCAGCCGAC
This 486-nucleotide ribosomal RNA is filed under the name uncultured soil bacterium. RNAcentral's name for it is "bacterial SSU rRNA". It matches the Rfam family "Bacterial small subunit ribosomal RNA", at positions 26 to 518 of the family's 1533-position model. The record is from RNAcentral.